This 425-nucleotide ribosomal RNA is filed under the name uncultured bacterium. Its description in RNAcentral is "partial 16S ribosomal RNA". It matches the Rfam family "Bacterial small subunit ribosomal RNA", at positions 354 to 796 of the family's 1533-position model. The record is from RNAcentral.
GUGGGGAAUCUUGCGCAAUGGGCGAAAGCCUGACGCAGCCAUGCCGCGUGAAUGAUGAAGGUCUUAGGAUUGUAAAAUCCUUUCACCGGUGAAGAUAAUGACUGUAGCCGGAGAAGAAGCCCCGGCUAACUUCGUGCCAGCAGCCGCGGUAAUACGAAGGGGGCUAGCGUUGCUCGGAUUUACUGGGCGUAAAGGGCGCGUAGGCGGACAUUUAAGUCAGGGGUGAAAUCCCGGGGCUCAACCUCGGAACUGCCUUUGAUACUGGGUGUCUUGAGUAUGAGAGAGGUGUGUGGAACUCCGAGUGUAGAGGUGAAAUUCGUAGAUAUUCGGAAGAACACCAGUGGCGAAGGCGACACACUGGCUCAUUACUGACGCUGAGGCGCGAAAGCGUGGGGAGCAAACAGGAUUAGAAACCCUUGUAGUCC